GACCGCCAUCUUUGUUUCCAGGAGUGCGUCGACGCAGGAGCAGCUGUUCCUACGAGCCGUCAUCGCAGAGUUCAGGAGGCUGGGACUGGAGGAGGCCACCUUCCAACAGGUGCUGGUGCAGCACCAGGCUCUGUGUCGGGUGGAGGGCCUGCAGCCCGUCGGCGUGUCGGAGGGCCUGGCUGCGUGUCGGCGCCUGGGAGCCUGCAGGCUGCUGCUGCUGGAGCCCAGCCGCCUGGGGGUCCUGCAGAGGGUCCGGCUCAACGUGAGCCAGGACGACGUGCUCUUCGCCCUGAAGGCCGACUGACGAGGAAGAGGAGGAGGAAGAGGAAGCUCGGUUUUAAAUGUUUCUGUUUCAGCUGUUUUCCAUCUCUGGUGUUAUUAAAUGUUUCCGGUUCUCAAAGUACUUUAAUGUUUUCUGUCUUAAAUAUGCAAUAAAACCUUUAAACAAAA
This is a long non-coding RNA of Xiphophorus hellerii (green swordtail), 450 nucleotides long. RefSeq lists it as uncharacterized. The transcript has 2 exons. Lineage: Eukaryota; Metazoa; Chordata; Actinopteri; Cyprinodontiformes; Poeciliidae. The record is from RefSeq and is a predicted model, not a curated record.